RNAcentral lists this long non-coding RNA (438 nucleotides) under Vigna radiata. RNAcentral's name for it is "long non-coding RNA (VRAD_LNC010885)". Lineage: Eukaryota; Viridiplantae; Streptophyta; Magnoliopsida; Fabales; Fabaceae. The record is from RNAcentral.
UUUGAAAUUAAACUUACCGCAUCGUUAAAGAUUAAUAGAAAUCUUUAAUUCACAAAUCCUUAGAAUAUAUAUACAAGGAAAUACCAAAAAUAACUUGAAAAAUAAAUUAUAUUAAAAAAUUAUUUUAAAAUAAAAAUAAUAUUGUGAUUUAUUUUUUUCUUCUUCUUUUUUCUUUCAUUUAAUUUUUUUUUUCUUUUCAUCAUUCAUGGUCGCGUCUAUACUCUUUCUCCUUUUCCACCUCACUCAGUCACUUUCACUAUCAUUUCUACUUCUGUCAUUGCCUCUAUGAUUCUUGUCACCUCAUCUUCGUCUUUUUCUUUCUUCUCAUCUUCUCACUUGUUCUUUUUACACAUUUCAAAUUAAUUUAUACAAGUGGAUCCAUUCAUAUUUUUUUAUUAGCAACAAAAUUUUUCGUUGUAUUAUAAUGGCAUCACCCAU